CCUACGGGGGACAGCAGUGGGGAAUAUUGCACAAUGGGGGAAACCCUGAUGCAGCGACGCCGCGUGAGUGAAGAAGUAUUUCGGUAUGUAAAGCUCUAUCAGCAGGAACGAGACAAGACGGUACUUGACUAAGAAGCCUCGGCUAACUACGUGCCAGCAGCCGCGGUAAUACGUAGGGGGCAAGCGUUAUCCGGAAUCACUGGGUGUAAAGGGAGCGUAGACGGCUGAGCAAGCCUGAAGUGAAAGGCGGGGGCCCAACCCCCGGACUGCUUUGGGAACUGUACGGCUGGAGUGCAGGAGAGGUAAGUGGAAUUCCUAGUGUAGCGGUGAAAUGCGUAGAUAUUAGGAGGAACACCAGUGGCGAAGGCGGCUUACUGGACUGUAACUGACGUUGAGGCUCGAAAGCGUGGGGAGCGAACAGGAUUAGAUACCCGUGUAGUC
This 441-nucleotide ribosomal RNA is filed under the name uncultured bacterium. RNAcentral's name for it is "partial 16S ribosomal RNA". It matches the Rfam family "Bacterial small subunit ribosomal RNA", at positions 338 to 795 of the family's 1533-position model. The record is from RNAcentral.